ACGCUCGACACCUACGGAGGCAGCAGUCGGGAAUAUUGCGCAAUGGAGGAAACUCUGACGCAGUGACGCCGCGUAUGGGAAGAAGGUUUUCGGAUUGUAAACCAUUUUAGACAAGGAAGAAACAAGACAGUACUUGUAGAAUAAGCUCCGGCUAACUACGCGCCAGCAGCCGCGGUAAUCUGAGCGGGCUGGCAAGGC
RNAcentral lists this ribosomal RNA (198 nucleotides) under uncultured bacterium. RNAcentral describes it as "partial 16S ribosomal RNA". It matches the Rfam family "Bacterial small subunit ribosomal RNA", at positions 328 to 539 of the family's 1533-position model. The record is from RNAcentral.